This 1057-nucleotide long non-coding RNA is filed under the name Mytilus galloprovincialis (Mediterranean mussel). The record is from RNAcentral. Lineage: Eukaryota; Metazoa; Mollusca; Bivalvia; Mytilida; Mytilidae.
UCUUUAAAUGUAAGAUAAAAGGAACAUUGUAUUUGGAAUUUAAAAAAAAAUGAACUAAAACCACAGCAUGCUUCUGGAGAUUUUGCAAAAUUAUACAGGGCAAAAAUUUUACUUAUUUUGAAGUCAUAUUUUCUAUGCCCUGAUAUAUCCAUAGUGUUUUAAGACUUUCGUGCAAUGUUAUCAAUAUUAGUUUUGAAAUUCAUAGCUUGCUUUUACUUCUUUGUAAAAAAAGUCAUGUCUUUUAUGUAGUACAACAUCUAGAAUUGUUGUAAAAAAAAUAUUUUUUUAAUGGGUACAUAUAUGCUCUUCACAAUCGGUCUAAUUUUCAUUAUAAUAAUAUCAAUUCAGUAAAAAAAUUAUGUUUUCAUUGAAUUUAAUUUGUGACCAUCCAUUCAGUGAUUGAUGACUGUAAAAAUACAAAAUUUCCUUUCCUUUGAGUUCAAUUUGUGACCACCAAACUAUAGAUUGAUGGUUGUAAAUAAAUAAACACAUUACUUCCUCAUCAUAAAGAAAUAUUUUUGUCAAAGCUUAUGUGCAGAAGGAGAUUUAAAAAUUGUUAAGAUAAUGUUAUUAAUGUGUCUUUAGCUGCAUUCACACUGAGGCUUGAACAAAUUGUCAAACAUCGAGUAUAAGUUAUCAACCCUUUAAUUUUGAAAACUUGUGAAAAUUGAAAACUCUAAAGAGUGUUUCUGGUGUUGGAGGCACCAACAGUUGAUAAAAUUUGUGAUAAGGAUUCAUAUACAAAAGUAUCUCUGUAUCAACAGUUUAUUAUUACCAAGAUAUCAACAUUAAAACUUCAGAACACAAAAAAGAAAAUAAACAUGAGCAGUGUGAAUGCAGCCCUUGUUAAAAUUCAUUAAUGUCGGGCAUUUUAAAUGCUUCGUUAUAUAUAAAAUAGAAUUACAUUUGUAGUUUUGUAAUUUGAUGUGUUUUAAACAUGUCUGAAUCUUUGUUAGUUAUAAGAGAGUUUUCUACUUUCAAGUUUUGAUGAUUAUUUGUGUAUUUUAAAAAAAACAUGUCUUUGAUGAGGUUUUAUAGCUUAAUAAAAAUUUCCAAC